GAUGAAGAACGUAGCAAAAUGCGAUACUUGGUGUGAAUUGCAGAAUCCCGUGAACCAUCGAGUUUUUGAACGCAAGUUGCGCCCGAAGCCUUUUGGCCGAGGGCACGUCUGCCUGGGCGCCACGCAUCGCGUCGCCCCCCACAAAUUCUCCGUCAGGAGAGCUUGUGUUUCGGGGGCGGAUACUGGUCUCCCGUGCUCAUGGCGCGGUUGGCCGAAAUAGGAGUCCCUUCGAUGGACGCACGAACUAGUGGUGGUCGUAAAAACCCUCGUCUUUUGUUUCGUGCCGUUAGUCGCGAGGGAAGCUCUUCAAAAACCCCAACGCGUCGUCUCUUGACGGCGCUUCGACCGCGACCCCAGGUCAGGCGGGACUACCCGCUGAGUUUAAGCAUAUCAAUAAGCGGAGGA
RNAcentral lists this unclassified non-coding RNA (405 nucleotides) under soil metagenome. Its description in RNAcentral is "partial contains 5.8S ribosomal RNA, internal transcribed spacer 2, and large subunit ribosomal RNA". The stretch from base 1 to 122 matches the Rfam family "5.8S ribosomal RNA", at positions 35 to 154 of the family's 154-position model. The record is from RNAcentral.